RNAcentral lists this transfer RNA (82 nucleotides) under Dentipellis sp. KUC8613. It matches the Rfam family "tRNA". From Rfam's summary of the family: Transfer RNA (tRNA) molecules are approximately 80 nucleotides in length. Their secondary structure includes four short double-helical elements and three loops (D, anti-codon, and T loops). The record is from Rfam by way of RNAcentral. Lineage: Eukaryota; Fungi; Basidiomycota; Agaricomycetes; Russulales; Hericiaceae.
GGCCCUGUAGUGUAGUUGGUUAUCACACGGGAUUCUGAAAUAGGAACUUCCCGUGACCCAGGUUCGAAUCCUGGCAGGGCCU